CCUGAAGGCUUGGUUAAAUUCCUGGGUUCUUGUUGGAAUGUAAAUCAAGUACUGGUGUUCUGUUAAAAGCACCCUGGUACAGGGGACUACACUUUAACAGAAAGAAGAUUAGGUAUUCACGUAGGGUGGGUGGCUGGGGGUAAAAUUAAAAUUGCUUUAACUGUGAAACACAUUUCAUAGACUAUGGAUAAGCAGGACAAAGAUUUUCAAGAUCAGAAAGAUUUGUAAACAUUAUUUAUAUUGAGCAAAUAUUUCAGAUUUAGGUAAACAAUUGACGUGGCAAUAUUUGAAGGGAAUAUUUCAGGCUUUUAAAGCGUUGAAGAAGUUUAUGCUUUUCUCAUCUGAUUAUCUUGCUCCCUCAGACACCAGCUGGAGACAAUUUAGCCUCAUCGUCCCUUGCCAAACGACGCCAACGAUUCCUCAGGUUAGGAACAGACACACUCAGAGGGAAGCCCAUGUGAUGACAAUGGGAGAAGAUGGCUGUCCGCAAGCCCCCGCAAGAGACUGCAGAAGGAAGGUACCCUGCCCAAGCCCCCACGAGAGACCUCAGAAGGAAGGUACCCUGCCCACACCUUGGUCUUAGACUUCUACUGUCCAGGAUUGUGAGAAAAUUAAUUUCUGUUGUUUUAUGCCACCCAGUCUCUGGUACUUUGUUAUGACCCCCAAAUGCACUAAUACAACUUCAUUGAAGAGCCAGUCAGCUUUAACAGCCAUGUUAUUUCCCACUCACUCAGGACGUAGCAUAUAUCAAAGAAUUUUUAUUUUUACUCUUAUAGACUUUAGGCCCAGUUCCAAGCCUUGGACCUUCAAAGUGCACUGUUGUUGGUAGAGGUAAAUCAUAAGAAAAACAAAAGAUUUCACACACACAGGCAGGCAUGCACACUCACAUGCACACAGUCUUCAAUAUAGCUGAGUUUGUUAGUGGACUCUGUCUCCAGCUAACAUGGAAGAAGUAAUCAUUGUAAGCUCAGUGCUUUUCUUCUUUUCUGGAGUCUGGAGCUGGGCCUGGAGUCCCAAGUUCUAAGCAUCAUCACCCGGUCCCUUCCCAACAGGUAAUUAAUUAUGGCACCUCUUUAUCACAGGAAAUGUGAUAAACCCACCUAUCAAUCCCUAAUCACAGGCAAUAAGCAUUGUUGGAAGCAUGUUAUUUAUCCACCCAGGUUAUAUGUUUCCAUGAUAGCAGAAGUUUUCUGGAAGCCAGGCCUUAAUGCAGAUGGACUACUUUAAUUUUAAGAGUUGUGGCAGAACCAGGGGUGUGUGGUUUAUCCCGUGAGGUCUCUCAGUGUCUCCAAGCACAGGGGUGUCUUGAAGGGACAGGGCAUGCCAUUUUGCCUUCUGAAAAACUGCUGAUGGCCUGAGGUGGUUGUAAGAAGUGGAAUAAUGGUCCUCUGAGGAUGUCCACAUCCUGAUCAGGAACUUGUGAAUAUGUUACUUUACAUGGCAACAGGAACUUUGCAGGGGGAAUUAACCUAACACUCUUGAGAUGGGAGAAGAUUCUGAAUUACCUGGAUCAUCCCAGUGUGAACCCAAGCAUCCCUCUAAGUGAAGGAGGGAGCAGGAGGCAAGGAGCAAGAGAUGUGACUGAUGAUAGAGCAAAGGUCAGAGUGAUGAGCUCAAGAAUGCAGGUGGCCUCUGGAAGCUGGAAAAGGAAAGGAAUGGGGUUUCUCCUGGAAUUUAGAAGGAAUACAGAUCUGCCUCACACCUUGAUUUAAGCCCGUAAAACCCAUUUCUGACUUCUGACCUCCAGAAUGCUGAAAUAAACCACUAAGGUUGUGGUAGUUUGUUACAGAAGCAACAGGAAACCAAUACAGAUGUCCAGAAACCUGGUUGCUCAGCUGUGCCUCUGCAAUUACAGGACUUCUAAAACCUGAGCAAUGUGGGAGCCUAGAACCCCAAGUAACUUCUCUCCAUAGC
Molecule: long non-coding RNA, 1914 nt
Filed under: Callithrix jacchus (white-tufted-ear marmoset)
Lineage: Eukaryota; Metazoa; Chordata; Mammalia; Primates; Cebidae
Description: lncRNA (ENSCJAG00000084809.1)
Source: RNAcentral